This 2657-nucleotide long non-coding RNA is filed under the name Canis lupus familiaris (dog). RNAcentral's name for it is "lncRNA (ENSCAFG00000052306.1, ENSCAFG00805015846.1)". Lineage: Eukaryota; Metazoa; Chordata; Mammalia; Carnivora; Canidae. The record is from RNAcentral.
UCUGUAAAUAAUUAAUGCUGGUGAAAUUGAACCAGAGACAUCAUUAGCACUUAUAAAUGGGAUAUCUUCCCCCUGAUAAUAUAAGGAAGCCCCAAGCCCAUGGUUUCUGCUGCUCUUGACAUCCUUUUACAGAGCUUCCCUCACCUCCCCACUAUUAGCUCCAUGUAUCUAGUAGGCUUUUUCUGGAAAAACUCACAUUUCUUGGUCAUGCUUACUGUGAGGAACAUCUGAAAUUGAAAGAAACCUGGUAGCCCAGGAAGCCAGUCCAGAGAUUCUCAGAAGGCAGCUGUGAUGCUUCAGAACUAUGUGUUAACAAAUGAAGAUGGAGGUUUUAAAGUUUAAUAGACCUGGUUUCAGACCCUAACUCUGCCUCUUGCUGGCUAUAUGACUUUGGAUAAGCUAUACAACCAUGGGGCACCUGGGUGGCUCAGUGGUUGAGCAACUGCCUUUAGCUCAGGGCAUGAUCCUAGGGUCUCAGGAUCAAGUCCCACAUCAAGCUCCCCACAGAGAGCCUGCUUCUCCCUCUGCCUAUGUCUCUGCCUCUCUCUUUGUCUCUAAUGAAUAAAUAAAAUCUUGUUUUUUUUUAAAAAAAAAAAAGCUAUACAACCACAUCUCAGCCUUACUUGUAAAUAGAAAUGAUAAUUAAUCUCAUAAUAGUUUGGCAUGGAACAAAUUCAUUUGGACAUAUGCAACACUAACACUGUACCUGGCAUGAAAUAAGUACUUUGUAUUAGUUCCUUCUUUGCCAUCCUUUUCUCUACCUUUGAUAACACCACACAGGAUCAGCAGAUUCCUGCAAGUUUUCCUACAGAAGCUUCAGUCACUUACUUGAACCCAAUCUUUGCCCCGUUUUUCAUGAGCCUGGCAUCCCCCAAACAAGGAAGGGUGAAGUCCAUGUGAGAGUCAGAAAGCCAGCUAAAUCUGGAGGCCCUGGGGCUGUCUUCAUUUUUGUACCCUGAUUCUUCUGGAGUUGGGUACACACGCAGUCCGGCAUUGGCGGAGUCCUCAGGACAUAUCUUCAGUGAAUGAUAUUGAAAAUUUAUUUAGCAGAAAAUUCUCCUAUAAUGUGAGGCGCCCUACUCCUUCAUCCCCACCUCAAGUGCCUUAUAUAUUUCAAAGGUGAUACCAAAGUCAAAUUCUGUGAUGAGUAGAGAAAGUACAGAAACAAAUCUUGAGUAAAUAUACCUCCCUUGUGUCCUGGAUAUUACCCAACGAGUCACUGGGCUGCUGCCAUGGAACAGGCCCAGUUUAAAUCCUGAGAUGGCUGGGCCCUCAUCCUCAAUGAUCUUUGUCUACCAAGGGAGACAAGUAAUAAACAAGCAAUGACAACAUCAUGUAAUAAGCUCUGCAUUUGGAGCCAAGUACCACAUGUCUAGGCCUGAUGUGGCAAGAGAUGGGGAUCUGGGCUGUAUCGAGGACGAUCCACAUCCUUCACCACUUGCCAUCCCAUCUUUGGUCACCAAGAUGACCUGUCUGGGCUGCACUUUCUUUGAGCUCUCAGUUCCUAUCCUAUCAUGGGACUUCUUUGCCUCAGCUUAUUUGUCUUGAAUAAGGACCAGGAAUUAGAAUACUGUAGGGAUGGCUCUAACCAGGGCCUAAACAGAGGGGAAAUGUGAAGAAAAUUAGAUUUUUAAUAUGUUUUUAAAUGCUUUUAGAAUUUAUCAUGAGGCUCUCAAUUACGAAACUGAGCUAUCCUAAAAACAAAGAGGGGUGCACCUCUGGGUAGCUCAGUCAGUUAAGCAUCUGCCUUUGGCUCAGGUGAUGAUCCCGGGGUCCUGGGAUUGAGCCCUGCAUGAGACUCCCUGCUCAGUGGGGAGUCUGCUUCUCUCUCUCCCUCUGCCUCUCCUGCCUGCUCCUGUGCUCCUUCUCUCUCUCUCUCUCUUUCUUUCUCUCCCUCUCUCAAGUAAAUAAAUAAAAUCUCCAAACAAACAAAACACUGGCAUUUAAUAACCAUCCUGGUUUUUCUGAGACUGUCCCAGUUCUCGCACUGAAAGUUCCAUGUCCUAGGAAACCCUUCAAUCAGGACAUGAGGGAGCAGCUGGUCACAGCUCCUGUCCAGAGUCCCUCUCUACCCAGCUCUCUCGGCCUCCAGAUUUGUGCUUCCCUGCUCUUCCCACUCCUUCAAGGCUUGGAGAUGUUAAUGGUUACCCCCUUGACCACUCUCAGGGCUCUAUGCCAUCAUUUGGAAUUUCCCAAAAGCUUGACCACACAUUUGUACAUUGUACACACACUGAAUAUGUUUUUGUUUACUGCUAGAAUGCUGACAAAUAUAAACAUCAGGAGAACAACUAGCUCAGUGAUUUCUAAACACAAGUUUGGGCACAGUUCUGUACUGGCCACAUCAGCAUCACUUAGGAAGCUUUAGAGAGUAUAGAUUCCUGGACCUCACACCUGGACUACUAAUUCAGAGGACCCUGGGUGAGGCCUCACUCUGUAUUUCUAGUAGCUUCCCUGCCAAUCCUGCCACUGUAGCCAGAUCUGGGAAGAGUUCACUUCCGAGGCCCUGAUAUAGCUGGACCCUUUCUCUUCAUCAGUAUUUUGUUGUCGUUGUUGUUGUUGUUGUUCUGGCUUCACAUUUCACUCUCUUUGAUUUCAUUUUGGUUAGAAACAAAAGAAUACAGCACAUACAGAAACUAUGCUUGUCCUCCAGAAAGGUG